This 373-nucleotide ribosomal RNA is filed under the name uncultured organism. RNAcentral's name for it is "partial 16S ribosomal RNA". It matches the Rfam family "Bacterial small subunit ribosomal RNA", at positions 526 to 896 of the family's 1533-position model. The record is from RNAcentral.
GUAGGUGGGCAAGCGUUGUCCGGAAUUAUUGGGCGUAAGGCGCGCGCAGGGCGGUCCUUUAAGUCUGAUGUGAAAGCCCACGGCUCAACCGUGGAGGGUCAUUGGAAACUGGGGGACUUGAGUACAGAAGAGGAAAGCGGAAUUCCAAGUGUAGCGGUGAAAUGCGUAGAGAUUUGGAGGAACACCAGUGGCGAAGGCGGCUUUCUGGUCUGUAACUGACGCUGAGGCGCGAAAGCGUGGGGAGCAAACAGGAUUAGAUACCCUGGUAGUCCACGCCGUAAACGAUGAGUGCUAAGUGUUAGGGGGUUUCCGCCCCUUAGUGCUGCAGCUAACGCAUUAAGCACUCCGCCUGGGGAGUACGGCCGCAAGGCUG